Molecule: small nuclear RNA, 104 nt
Organism: Acomys russatus (golden spiny mouse)
Lineage: Eukaryota; Metazoa; Chordata; Mammalia; Rodentia; Muridae
Source: RefSeq, a predicted model, not a curated record
GUGCUCACUUUGGCAGCACAUAUCCUAAAAUUGGAGCGAUACAGAGACCAGCAUAGUCCCUGCGCAAGGAUGACACGCAGAUUCGGGAAGCUUUCCAUAUUUUU